ACCCCAUGGCUGUGGCACAAUGGGAUAGUACAUCUGGCUAUUAACCAGAAGGCUGGUGGUUCUAGCCCACCCAGGGAUG
This is a non-coding RNA of Podarcis lilfordi (Lilford's wall lizard), 79 nucleotides long. The record is from the annotation of a GenBank genome assembly. NCBI's taxonomy places the organism in Eukaryota, Metazoa, Chordata, Lepidosauria, Squamata, Lacertidae.